Molecule: small RNA, 854 nt
Filed under: Pan troglodytes (chimpanzee)
Lineage: Eukaryota; Metazoa; Chordata; Mammalia; Primates; Hominidae
Description: retained intron
Source: RNAcentral
GCACAAGCAGGGAUGGCGUCGCUUCAGCGUUCUCGGGUGCUACGCUGCUGCAGCUGCCGCCUCUUCCAGGCGCACCAGGUAAAAAAGAGUGUCAAGUGGACAUGCAAAGCUUGUGGAGAGAAGCAGUCCUUUUUGCGGGCUUAUGGUGAAGGCUCUGGUGCUGACUGUAGACGCCAUGUCCAAAAGUUAAAUCUACUACAGGGACAAGUUUCAGAGCUGCCACUCAGGUACAGUUGUUUGAGAAGAGCGUGGUUGUCUUGCCCUGUUUUCGUCUUGACUGGAUAAUAGAAGUACACAGUGGAAAUCCUGGGCCGGGCACUCUGCUGUGGCUGGACCUGCCCCAGGUCCCUGCUGUCGCUUUGCCAUCUGAGGUCAGCAGCUGCCCUCAGAACCGACCCCGGGGAUGUUUAGAAUACUGGGGCUGAGCUUCACCCGAGGAGAUUCUCACCUGAUUGCCUGUGAUGAGGUCCAGACCUGUGGUUUUUAAAGCUGGCAGGCCAUUGCUCUGUGCCUCUAGAGCUGAAGGCUCUUGACACAGCUGUUCUCGUUUGUGGCUGGCUCACCAGAGAGGCCCUGGUAGGACAGACCCCACUGGGCCUGGGCCUGGGUCAGUGGAGAAGUCCCUUAGACUUCCACGUCUUACAUUAUGGCAGUCAAACACCCUGAGCAAUUCUCCCACUGAAAAUAACUAAAAAUGCUAGCUAUUUUAAAUGCACUGAUGAGCUGACAAGAAAGUAACUCUCGGCCAGGCGCAGUGGCUCAUGCUUGUAGUUCCAGCACUUUAGGAGGCCAAGGCGGGCAGAUCACGAGGUCAGGAGUUCGAGACCAGCCUGGCCAGCAUGGUGAAACCCCGU